Molecule: long non-coding RNA, 268 nt
Filed under: Helianthus annuus (common sunflower)
Lineage: Eukaryota; Viridiplantae; Streptophyta; Magnoliopsida; Asterales; Asteraceae
Description: sRNA HanXRQr2_Chr09g0377791
Source: RNAcentral
UUUACGUAGGUUUUACGUAAGUGCCUGACACAACCCGAGGCAGUAGUGAGUAUAAGUUUACGUAGGUUUUACGUAGGUGUCCUUCGCAACCUGAGGACAGUGAUGAGUACAAGUAUACGUAGUGAUGAGUACAAGUAUACGUAGGUUUUACGUAUGUAUCCUGCGCAUCCGAGGACGAUGGUAGAUAGUCUAGUAACAGUGUAAGUACAAUCCCAUUCCUUCAAUCCCAUUCCCAAACCCCGGGAAUCCCAUGCCUUGGUAAGAGUGU